UUUUAUUUGAGAGUUUGAUCCUGGCUCAGGAUGAACGCUGGCGGCGUGCCUAACACAUGCAAGUUGAGCGAUUUACUUCGGUAAAGAGCGGCGGACGGGUGAGUAACGCGUGGGUAACCUACCCUGUACACACGGAUAACAUACCGAAAGGUAUGCUAAUACGGGAUAAUAUAUUUGAGAGGCAUCUCUUGAAUAUCAAAGGUGAGCCAGUACAGGAUGGACCCGCGUCUGAUUAGCUAGUUGGUAAGGUAACGGCUUACCAAGGCGACGAUCAGUAGCCGACCUGAGAGGGUGA
RNAcentral lists this ribosomal RNA (295 nucleotides) under Clostridioides difficile. RNAcentral's name for it is "partial 16S ribosomal RNA". It matches the Rfam family "Bacterial small subunit ribosomal RNA", at positions 1 to 303 of the family's 1533-position model. The record is from RNAcentral. Lineage: Bacteria; Bacillati; Bacillota; Clostridia; Peptostreptococcales; Peptostreptococcaceae.